CGGGGCGUGGCGCAGUCCGGCUAGCGCGCUUCAAUGGGGUUGAAGAGGUCGAAGGUUCAAAUCCUUUCGCCCCGA
This 75-nucleotide transfer RNA is filed under the name Anaerolineales bacterium. RNAcentral's name for it is "tRNA-Pro". It matches the Rfam family "tRNA". From Rfam's summary of the family: Transfer RNA (tRNA) molecules are approximately 80 nucleotides in length. Their secondary structure includes four short double-helical elements and three loops (D, anti-codon, and T loops). Lineage: Bacteria; Bacillati; Chloroflexota; Anaerolineae; Anaerolineales. The record is from RNAcentral.